CUCCACUUUGACUGGGGAUGAAGUGACAUUUGUUAAGCAGCAAGCAGAAGAGAAAGAAAUGGUGGGCACUUCCUGUCUGUAGCCAUCUCCUUGUUUUCCAUCAAGUACACCUGAACACCACUCAUGUUGACAAAUACUUGCUGAACUCCUGCUAUUCACCAAAGAUUACCUGAGGCCCCUUCCUAGGCACCAAUGAGCAGAUAGAAAGAAGACUGGAAGCUAGUGUCUACCCUUAGUCACUGUAUUACUAGGCAGAAUUUGAUGGCCUAGAGAGAGUUCCACAGGCCACAGGAAUUCAGAGAAGAUUCUCCUGCCAGGUAUUCAGAGCAGCCGCAUGGAGGAGGUGGCCUCUGCAACUGGACCGAGAGUGGCAGGGAGGCCACCAGGCCCUGGGAAAGGAGGAGCAAAGGCACAGAUUCGCAGCUUGUAUUAUCCCCGUAAACCACGGCUUCACUGCCACCACCUCCUCAGCUACAGACAGCAAGUCCUGCCGUGCCUGCUGGUCCUGAGCCUUCCUUCUCUCUCUUGAGUUGACAUGACAGUGUCUUGCCUCCUGCCCCUGCUGGGUGCCAUCUGCCUGGAGACUGCUUAUUGCCCCU
RNAcentral lists this long non-coding RNA (599 nucleotides) under Dasypus novemcinctus (nine-banded armadillo). RNAcentral's name for it is "lncRNA (ENSDNOG00000052721.1)". Lineage: Eukaryota; Metazoa; Chordata; Mammalia; Cingulata; Dasypodidae. The record is from RNAcentral.